ACUCAAAUGAAUAGACGGGGGCCCGCACAAGCGGCGGAGCGUGCGGUUUAAUUCGACGCGACGCGCAGAACCUUACCAGGGCUUGACAUGCGCCUGCACGGCUGGGAAACCAGUCAGCCUUCGAGGGUGGCGCACAGGUGCUGCAUGGCUGUCGUCAGCUCGUGCCGUGAGGUGUUGGGUUAAGUCCCGCAACGAGCGCAACCCCCGUGGUUAGUUGCCGAUGUUUCUAACCAGACUGCCGCGUGCAACGCGGAGGAAGGCGGGGAUGACGUCAAGUCAGCAUGGCCCGUACGUCCUGGGCUACACGCACGCUACAAUGGCCGGGACAGUGAGUAGCCAAGCCGCGAGGCGGAGCGAAUCUCCCAAACCCGGUCUCAGUUGGGAUCGCGGGCUGCAACUCGCCCGCGUGAACGUGGAGUCGCUAGUAACCGCAGGUCAGCACUACUGCGGUGAAUACGUUCCCGGGCCUUGUACACACCGCCCGU
This 485-nucleotide ribosomal RNA is filed under the name uncultured bacterium. RNAcentral describes it as "partial 16S ribosomal RNA". It matches the Rfam family "Bacterial small subunit ribosomal RNA", at positions 899 to 1397 of the family's 1533-position model. The record is from RNAcentral.